This 73-nucleotide transfer RNA is filed under the name Canis lupus familiaris (dog). It matches the Rfam family "tRNA". Rfam says of the family: Transfer RNA (tRNA) molecules are approximately 80 nucleotides in length. Their secondary structure includes four short double-helical elements and three loops (D, anti-codon, and T loops). Further hydrogen bonds mediate the characteristic L-shaped molecular structure. tRNAs have two regions of fundamental functional importance: the anti-codon, which is responsible for specific mRNA codon recognition, and the 3' end, to which the tRNAs corresponding amino acid is attached (by aminoacyl-tRNA synthetases). tRNAs cope with the degeneracy of the genetic code in two manners: having more than one tRNA (with a specific anti-codon) for a particular amino acid; and 'wobble' base-pairing, i.e. permitting non-standard base-pairing at the 3rd anti-codon position. The record is from Rfam by way of RNAcentral. Lineage: Eukaryota; Metazoa; Chordata; Mammalia; Carnivora; Canidae. RNAcentral also lists the same sequence under 3 other names.
GCUUGGCUGGCUCAGUCAGUAGAGCAUGUGACUCUUGAUCUCAGGACUCUGAGUUCAAGCCCCAUGUUGGGUG